AUUGAACGCUGGCGGCAGGCCUAACACAUGCAAGUCGUGCGCGAAAGUUCUUCGGAAUGAGUAAAGCGGCGGACGGGUGAGUAAUACAUGGGAAUCUGCCUGGUAGUGGGGGACAACGUUUCGAAAGGAACGCUAAUACCGCAUACGCCCUACGGGGGAAAGGGGGGAUCGCAAGACCUCUCGCUAUCAGAUGAGCCCAU
This 200-nucleotide ribosomal RNA is filed under the name uncultured bacterium. RNAcentral describes it as "partial 16S ribosomal RNA". It matches the Rfam family "Bacterial small subunit ribosomal RNA", at positions 30 to 234 of the family's 1533-position model. The record is from RNAcentral.